UUGACCGCUCAUAUGUGCUCGGAUUUGAGAGAUUUCAAUUUCUAUAUGCUCAGGAGAAAAUAUAGUUUAUUUGGAUAUUUUCAUAUCGAUUUAUGGAAUGUUAGAUGAUUUUAUAAUCGAUUUACGGAUUUAAUUGCGUAUAUUUAUAUUUAUUGAUUAAUUAUUUGACUUCCGUAAAACCGUCCACUCGUAACGAGGUAGCAAAUUUUCUUCCCGGAAGUUUCAACAAAACUCACCUUUAGCCUAAUUUGAAUAUUCCGGACACUUUUCGUGUUUUGACUUUUUCGAUCCGGAGUACGGUUUUUCCCGGAGUCGGUCCGGCGGAGUUUUGCGGGUAUUUGAAUUGUUGAUAAUUAUCCAGUUUGUCUCGAUAAGCGUGAAACAAGAUAUUUUGAUUAUUAUAUUCAUCCUUAUCUUGUAAUAAUUGCAAUGGGACCCGCAGACCAAUAAUUGAGUUAAAAAGCCCCGUUUUGAUGAUUAUCUCGAAAACCAGUACCGAUUGGACUCCGCUUUAUUAAUAUAAAGCUAUUAAAUACGUAUUUUCAUGUCAUAUACGAUCCAAAGGGGUACCAAUUAUUUGUAAAUAUAAAUAGACCUUUCUAGAGCUUAUUUUCACCCGGAAAAUCAUUUCACCAGUUUCUUUCCACGAAUACCGAGAGAAAUCGAGUGGUGUUCUUCGUGUUCUUCGUGUUCUUCAUAAUCAAACGAAGAUUUGAAGGUGUUAUUGGAGUCAGAAUCAAGCGUGCAAAUAGUCAAAUCGAAGAUAUCGAAGAGUAGAACCCAAAUCAAUCAUCAAAAACAACAUGAGAUUCACAGAAAGGCUUAAAGAUGAGAUGAUUGAUUGAGAUUGUGAAUAAGGCUAAUGCUAGGCGAGGAGACAGAGUUGAGGAUCCAGUGAUCGAGGAGUGUUCAGGGAAGUUGAUAAGGGUUGUGCUAGCCAGAGUUAUGCUAUGAAGAUUCAGAUGUAAGUCAUGGCUGGAGUAGGUUGACAGUGAUUCUUCUUAUCGAAGAUGAUCUGAUUUGGUAAGAGAAGUUGUGUAAUAUUAGUGGUGGAUUCUAAUUUCAAUACUGUAACCUGGAUGCGA
Molecule: long non-coding RNA, 1085 nt
Organism: Daucus carota subsp. sativus
Lineage: Eukaryota; Viridiplantae; Streptophyta; Magnoliopsida; Apiales; Apiaceae
Exons: 2
Source: RefSeq, a predicted model, not a curated record